UACGGGGGGAGCAAGCGUUGUUCGGAUUUACUGGGCGUAAAGGGCGCGUAGGCGGUCAGCACAAGUCAGUUGUGAAAUCUCCGGGCUUAACUCGGAAAGGUCAACUGAUACUGUGCGACUAGAGUGCAGAAGGGGCAACUGGAAUUCUCGGUGUAGUGGUGAAAUGCGUAGAUAUCGGGAGGAACACCAGUGGCGAAGGCGACUACCUGGCCUGUUCUUGACGCUGAGGCGCGAAAGCUAGGGUAGCAAACGGG
RNAcentral lists this ribosomal RNA (254 nucleotides) under uncultured bacterium. RNAcentral describes it as "partial 16S ribosomal RNA". It matches the Rfam family "Bacterial small subunit ribosomal RNA", at positions 524 to 776 of the family's 1533-position model. The record is from RNAcentral.